Molecule: ribosomal RNA, 497 nt
Filed under: uncultured bacterium
Lineage: Bacteria
Description: partial 16S ribosomal RNA
Rfam family: Bacterial small subunit ribosomal RNA
Source: RNAcentral
ACUCAAAUGAAUUGACGGGGACCCGCACAACCAGUGGAGCAUGUGGUUUAAUUCGAGACAAAACGAAGGACCUUACCAAGCUUUGACAUGCUAUCGUUUUAGGCAUCUGGAAACAGAAGCUGAUCUAUAUUUUAUGGAUGAUAGCACAGGUGUUGCAUGGCCGUCGUAAGUUCGUGCCGUAGGGUGUUCCCUUCAGUGGGGUAACGAACGAAACCCUUGCCCUGAGUUAAAUGUUCUCAGGGGACUACCUAAAUUUAUUUUAGGUGGAAGCAGAGGAUGACGUCAGGUCAGCAUGGCCCUUAUAGCUUGGGCUACACACAUGCUACAAUGGAGCCGACAGAGGGUAGCCAAGUCGCAAGACGGAGCUAAUCCCAUCAAACGGCUUCUCAGUGGGGAUUGAAGGCUGCAACUCGCCUUCAUGAACGCGGAAUUGGUAGUAAUCGCGCAUCAGCUAUGGCGCGGUGAAUACGUUCUCGGGUCUUGUACACACCGCCCGU